RNAcentral lists this ribosomal RNA (253 nucleotides) under uncultured bacterium. Its description in RNAcentral is "partial 16S ribosomal RNA". It matches the Rfam family "Bacterial small subunit ribosomal RNA", at positions 524 to 776 of the family's 1533-position model. The record is from RNAcentral.
UACGAAGGGGGCUAGCGUUGUUCGGAAUCACUGGGCGUAAAGCGCACGUAGGUGGACUUUCAAGUCAGGGGUGAAAUCCCGGGGCUCAACCUCGGAACUGCCUUUGAUACUGUUGGUCUUGAGUCCGGAAGAGGUGAGUGGAAUUCCUAGUGUAGAGGUGAAAUUCGUAGAUAUUAGGAAGAACACCGGUGGCGAGGGCGGCUCACUGGUCCGGUACUGACACUGAGGUGCGAAAGCGUGGGGAGCAAACAGG